AAGGCUAGGUGGUUCUUCGUGGAAAUGAAGCAGAUUCCAGUAAUCCAUAUUCAACUUUUUGUGUCUCCUGGUUAGAUCAAUAUUUCUGAUUUGAUUAACAAUACAAACACCGUUAUGGAUUAUUUGUCAUCUCUAUGUUUCAUACAACCUUGGACAGAAAUGUGGUGAUGUUAUGGAUUAUUUGUCAUCUCUAUGUUUCAUACAACCUUGGACAGAAAUGUGGUGAUGGAUAGACGAUGGUGCAGUAACAGAGUGAUGCAUGUAUAUUGGUAAAUGUUAUUCUUUUUUUUUUUCACCUAUUUUACGUUGUGUUACCUCACUGCCAUAUGAGAUAUGUGAAGAGUGCAUGUAUUUUUC
This 357-nucleotide long non-coding RNA is filed under the name Citrus maxima (pomelo). Its description in RNAcentral is "long non-coding RNA (CMAX_LNC004066)". Lineage: Eukaryota; Viridiplantae; Streptophyta; Magnoliopsida; Sapindales; Rutaceae. The record is from RNAcentral.